Molecule: ribosomal RNA, 427 nt
Filed under: uncultured bacterium
Lineage: Bacteria
Description: partial 16S ribosomal RNA
Rfam family: Bacterial small subunit ribosomal RNA
Source: RNAcentral
UGGGGAAUAUUGGACAAUGGGCGAAAGCCUGAUCCAGCCAUGCCGCGUGUGUGAAGAAGGUCUUCGGAUUGUAAAGCACUUUAAGUUGGGAGGAAGGGCAUUAACCUAAUACGUUAGUGUUUUGACGUUACCGACAGAAUAAGCACCGGCUAACUCUGUGCCAGCAGCCGCGGUAAUACAGAGGGUGCAAGCGUUAAUCGGAAUUACUGGGCGUAAAGCGCGCGUAGGUGGUUUGUUAAGUUGGAUGUGAAAGCCCCGGGCUCAACCUGGGAACUGCAUCCAAAACUGGCAAGCUAGAGUACGGAAGAGGGUGGUGGAAUUUCCUGUGUAGCGGUGAAAUGCGUAGAUAUAGGAAGGAACACCAGUGGCGAAGGCGACCACCUGGACUGAUACUGACACUGAGGUGCGAAAGCGUGGGGAGCAAACA